Molecule: ribosomal RNA, 1556 nt
Filed under: Escherichia coli
Lineage: Bacteria; Pseudomonadati; Pseudomonadota; Gammaproteobacteria; Enterobacterales; Enterobacteriaceae
Description: bacterial SSU rRNA
Rfam family: Bacterial small subunit ribosomal RNA
Source: RNAcentral
UUAAAUUGAAGAGUUUGAUCAUGGCUCAGAUUGAACGCUGGCGGCAGGCCUAACACAUGCAAGUCGAACGGUAACAGGAAGAAGCUUGCUUCUUUGCUGACGAGUGGCGGACGGGUGAGUAAUGUCUGGGAAACUGCCUGAUGGAGGGGGAUAACUACUGGAAACGGUAGCUAAUACCGCAUAAUGUCGCAAGACCAAAGAGGGGGACCUUCGGGCCUCUUGCCAUCGGAUGUGCCCAGAUGGGAUUAGCUAGUAGGUGGGGUAACGGCUCACCUAGGCGACGAUCCCUAGCUGGUCUGAGAGGAUGACCAGCCACACUGGAACUGAGACACGGUCCAGACUCCUACGGGAGGCAGCAGUGGGGAAUAUUGCACAAUGGGCGCAAGCCUGAUGCAGCCAUGCCGCGUGUAUGAAGAAGGCCUUCGGGUUGUAAAGUACUUUCAGCGGGGAGGAAGGGAGUAAAGUUAAUACCUUUGCUCAUUGACGUUACCCGCAGAAGAAGCACCGGCUAACUCCGUGCCAGCAGCCGCGGUAAUACGGAGGGUGCAAGCGUUAAUCGGAAUUACUGGGCGUAAAGCGCACGCAGGCGGUUUGUUAAGUCAGAUGUGAAAUCCCCGGGCUCAACCUGGGAACUGCAUCUGAUACUGGCAAGCUUGAGUCUCGUAGAGGGGGGUAGAAUUCCAGGUGUAGCGGUGAAAUGCGUAGAGAUCUGGAGGAAUACCGGUGGCGAAGGCGGCCCCCUGGACGAAGACUGACGCUCAGGUGCGAAAGCGUGGGGAGCAAACAGGAUUAGAUACCCUGGUAGUCCACGCCGUAAACGAUGUCGACUUGGAGGUUGUGCCCUUGAGGCGUGGCUUCCGGAGCUAACGCGUUAAGUCGACCGCCUGGGGAGUACGGCCGCAAGGUUAAAACUCAAAUGAAUUGACGGGGGCCCGCACAAGCGGUGGAGCAUGUGGUUUAAUUCGAUGCAACGCGAAGAACCUUACCUGGUCUUGACAUCCACAGAACUUUCCAGAGAUGGAUUGGUGCCUUCGGGAACUGUGAGACAGGUGCUGCAUGGCUGUCGUCAGCUCGUGUUGUGAAAUGUUGGGUUAAGUCCCGCAACGAGCGCAACCCUUAUCCUUUGUUGCCAGCGGUCCGGCCGGGAACUCAAAGGAGACUGCCAGUGAUAAACUGGAGGAAGGUGGGGAUGACGUCAAGUCAUCAUGGCCCUUACGACCAGGGCUACACACGUGCUACAAUGGCGCAUACAAAGAGAAGCGACCUCGCGAGAGCAAGCGGACCUCAUAAAGUGCGUCGUAGUCCGGAUUGGAGUCUGCAACUCGACUCCAUGAAGUCGGAAUCGCUAGUAAUCGUGGAUCAGAAUGCCACGGUGAAUACGUUCCCGGGCCUUGUACACACCGCCCGUCACACCAUGGGAGUGGGUUGCAAAAGAAGUAGGUAGCUUAACCUUCGGGAGGGCGCUUACCACUUUGUGAUUCAUGACUGGGGUGAAGUCGUAACAAGGUAACCGUAGGGGAACCUGCGGUUGGAUCACCUCCUUACCUUAAAGAAGC